GAAGUAAAAGUCGUAACAAGGUUUCCGUAGGUGAACCUGCGGAAGGAUCAUUACAGAGUUCAUGCCCUCACGGGUAGAUCUCCCACCCUUGUGUAUUCUAUAACAGUUGCUUUAGCGGGCCACGGGCCUGCCCGUGACCCGCUAGAGGACCCCAAACUCUGAAUUUUAGUGUCGUCUGAGUACUAUACAAUAGUUAAAACUUUCAACAACGGAUCUCUUGGUUCUGGCAUCGAUGAAGAACGCAGCGAAAUGCGAUAAGUAAUGUGAAUUGCAGAAUUCAGUGAAUCAUCGAAUCUUUGAACGCACAUUGCGCCCCCUGGUAUUCCGGGGGGCAUGCCUGUUCGAGCGUCAUUUAAACCACAUCUAGCUCUGCUAGGUCUUGGGCCACGCUACCCGGCGGGCCUUAAAACCAGUGGCGGUGCCGCCAGGCUCUAAGCGUAGUAAUUCUCUCGCUAUAGGCCCUGGCGGAUGCUAGCCAGCAACCCCAAAUUUUUCAGGUUGACCUCGGAUCAGGUAGGGAUACCCGCUGAACUUAAGCAUAU
This 542-nucleotide small RNA is filed under the name Trichopezizella sp. FC-2255. RNAcentral's name for it is "eukaryotic LSU rRNA". The stretch from base 198 to 351 matches the Rfam family "5.8S ribosomal RNA". Lineage: Eukaryota; Fungi; Ascomycota; Leotiomycetes; Helotiales; Tricladiaceae. The record is from RNAcentral.